AUUGAACGCUGGCGGCAGGCCUAACACAUGCAAGUCGAGCGGAUGAAGGGAGCUUGCUCCUGGAUUCAGCGGCGGACGGGUGAGUAAUGCCUAGGAAUCUGCCUGGUAGGGGGGGAUAACGUCCGGAAACGGGCGCUAAUACCGCAUAAGUCCUGAGGGAGAAAGUGGGGGAUGUUCGGACCUGGCGCUUGCGGAUGAGCCGACGUCGGAUUAGCUAGUUGGUGGGGUAGUGGCCUACCAAGGCGAGGAUGGGUAACUGGCCUGAGAGGGUGAUCGGUCACAUUGGGACUGGGGGAGGGCCCAGAGGGCUAUGGGAGGCAGAAGGGGGGAAUAUUGCACAACGGGCGGAGGGCUGAUGAAGCAACUCCGCGUGCGGGAUGACUUUCUUCGGGUUGGAAACCGCUUUAGCCUGUGACGAUGCGUGUGUGACGGUAAUGAGUAAAGAAGCACCGGCUAACUACGUG
This 464-nucleotide ribosomal RNA is filed under the name uncultured bacterium. Its description in RNAcentral is "partial 16S ribosomal RNA". It matches the Rfam family "Bacterial small subunit ribosomal RNA", at positions 28 to 507 of the family's 1533-position model. The record is from RNAcentral.